AGAACGAACGCUGGCGGCAUGCCUAAUACAUGCAAGUCGAACGAACUCUUCGGAGUUAGUGGCGCACGGGUGCGUAACGCGUGGGAAUCUGCCCCUUGGUUCGGAAUAACAGUUGGAAACGACUGCUAAUACCGGAUGACGACGAAAGUCCAAAGAUUUAUCGCCAAGGGAUGAGCCCGCGUAGGAUUAGCUAGUUGGUGAGGUAAAGGCUCACCAAGGCAACGAUCCUUAGCUGGUCUGAGAGGAUGAUCAGCCACACUGGGACUGAGACACGGCCCAGACUCCUACGGGAGGCAGCAGUAGGGAAUAUUGGACAAUGGGCGAAAGCCUGAUCCAGCAAUGCCGCGUGAGUGAUGAAGGCCUUAGGUGUAAAGCUCUUUACCCGAGAUGAUAAUGACAGUAUCGGAGAAUAAGCCCCGGAUAACUCCGCGCCAGCAGCCGC
This 442-nucleotide ribosomal RNA is filed under the name uncultured soil bacterium. RNAcentral describes it as "bacterial SSU rRNA". It matches the Rfam family "Bacterial small subunit ribosomal RNA", at positions 26 to 518 of the family's 1533-position model. The record is from RNAcentral.